This is a non-coding RNA of Oryctolagus cuniculus (rabbit), 6822 nucleotides long. The record is from RefSeq and is a predicted model, not a curated record. Lineage: Eukaryota; Metazoa; Chordata; Mammalia; Lagomorpha; Leporidae.
GCCGUACCACGGGGUGCCCAGCCAGCCUGCCGGCCCCUUCUGCAGGGGACACUGAGACCCUGCCGCAGCCUGGCGGCUAGCAGAGGCCAGACUGUCCUUGUAGCUCCUGGGUGCCUUUUGCCCUGCACACAGCUUGCACUCCUGGGGACAACUCAGCCAAGCCCAGCACCACACAUGUGCCCUUGCCUGCCUGUCCCUAGCCUUGGCCCAACGUGGAGGUGGGAAGAUGCGGGGAGUAUGCUGUGUGCAUACUCAUCAGCCCAGCCUGGAUUUUCCCACCCCUAAAACAGCUCUUGCAGAUAGCAGAAGGUGGAAGGCGCGACCUCGAGUCCUUUCAGGGGAGCGGGAAGCCUGUUCUUUUUAAGACUUAUUUAUUUAUUUGAAAGGCAGUGUUACAGAGAGGAAGAGACAGAGAGAUUGAGGUCUUCCAUCCGCUGGUUCACUGCCCAGAUGGUCGCAAUGGCUGGAGAUGAGAUGAUCCAAAGCCAGGAGCCAGGAGCUUCUUCCGGGUCUCCCAUGCGGGUGCAGGGGCCCAAGGACCUGGGCCAUCUUCCACUGCUUUCCUAGGCCACAGCAGAGAGCUGGAUUGGAAGAGCAGCCAGGACUAGAACCAGAGUCCAUAUGGGAUGCCGAUACUGUAGGCGGCGGCUUCACCCACUAUGCCAGAGCGCUGGCCCUUCACGCUGCUUUUAUUCUUGGCUCUGCCUUUAUCCUGUCAGUGCAUAUUUUAACUCACCCACAUGUCUACUCAUUGCUUCUCUCACCAUCCUAUUUUUUUAUUUUUAUUUUAUUUUUUAUUUUUUAAAGAUUUAUUUAUUUAUUUGAAAGAGUUACACAGAGAGAGGAGAGGCAGAGAGAGAGAGAGGCCCUCCAUCCACUGGUUCACUCCCCAGUUGGCCGCAACGGCCGGAGCUGCGCCAAUCCAAAGCCAGGAGCCAGGAACUUCUUCUGGGUCUCCCAUGUGGUGCAGGGGCCCAAGGACGUGGGCCAACCUCCACUGCUUUCCCAGGCCACAGCAGAGAGCUGGAUUGGAAGUGGAGCAGCCAGGGCUAGAACCGGUACCCAUGUGGGAUGCCAGCACUUCAAACCAGGGCAUUAACCCACUGUGCCACAGCGCCAGCCCCACCAGCCUAUUCUUAAAAAAAAAAAAGGUUUAUUUUGAAAGGGAGAGAGAGGGAGAGACAAAGAAACAAAGAGAGAUUUUCCAUCGACUGGUUCACUCCCCAAAUAGCUGGGCCAAGGCGAAGCCGGGAGCUUUUUCUGAGUCUCCCACAUGGGUGCAGGGGCCCAAACACUUGGGCCAUCUUCCACUGCUUUCCCAGGUGCAUUAGCAGGGAGCUGGAUUGGAAGUGGAGCAACCAGGACUGCAACAGCACCCUUUUGGGAGGCUGGAUUUGUAGGCAGCAGCUUGGCUUCACUGGCUAUGUCACACCGCCAGCCCCUUCUCUAUCAUAUCCUUACAUAUCAUUUAUUUCUUUUUUAAAUAAAAAUAUUUACUUAUUUGAAAGGCAGAGCUACAGAGAAGGCAGAGAGAGACAGAGAGAGGUCUUCCAUCCGCUGGUUCACUCCCCAAUUGGCCGCAACGGCCAGAGCUGUACUGAUCCGAAGCCAGGAGCCAGGAGCUUCUUCCUGGUCUCCCCCGUGGGUACAGGGGCCCAAGCACUUGGGCCAUCUUCCACUGCCUUUCCAGGCCAUAGCAGAGAGCUGGGUCGGAAGUGGAGCAGCCAGGACUCGAAGUGGCACCCAUGUGGGAUGCCACUGCAGACCGGCGCUUUAACCUGCUGCGCCACAGCGCCAGCGUCCUCGUUUCUUUCUUCUGUGUUCAGUUCCUUUAUUCCAGGUAGACAUCUCUUUCAGCAAGGAUUUCAUCUUCGGAAAUUCUCGAUUGUUGUCCAAAAAUAUCUAUUUCAUCACUCUUUCCGGGCUAAAGUUUAGUUGGCUGUGCGAAUCUAGGUGGACAGUUAUUUUCUCCCAGUCCUUUUGACGAUAUGCAUUGUCUUCUGGCUCCUCUGGAGCUGUGAGUGUAGUGGUGCCUGCAUAGUGACCUGCAGUUUCUCUCUGGGUGCUUUCGGAAUUUUCUGUUACUCUUCGCCACUGUGCAGUGUCGCUACCAUGUGCUCGGGUGUGGGCUUCGGUUUAUCCGUCUUGAGACUGGUUCUAUGUCCUUUGAACACGUGUGAAUUCAGGCCUCUCCAGGCUAGAAUAUUUUCAGCCAUUAGCCUAUAGAAAUAUCACCUGAGCCUCCUUUUACUCUCUUCCAGAACCCCUGCUAGCCCUUUGCUAACCUUCAGUUUUUCUCCGUCGCCCCCUCCAUCUGUCCCGUCUCGUGCUACCUGUUCUGCCCCCUGAGAGAGUUCCUCAGAUCUCUUCCUGCUCACCAGGUCACCAGGUCAGCAAUUUUCCCUUCAGGCAUGUCUGCUUUGAAGACUUUUUACAUUUCAGGUACUGUUGGAUUCCAUUUCAAACAAAAGUCUGAAAGGAGAAAUUUUCUUUUUCAAAUACAAAUUCCACACCGUUUUUGUAAGUCUCUUCUGUCUGUGUCUCUUCAAACAAUCCUUUGAUGCUGGAUGCCUGCUGUUUUUAAAGCUGUAUUUAUUUAUUGGAAAGGCAGAGCAACACAGAGAACUCACCCAUCCACUGGUUCACUCCCCACAUGGCUGCAACACCCGGGGCUGUGCCGGGCCGAGCCAAAGCCAGGAGCCCAGAACUGCAUCUGGGUCUCCCACGUGGCUGGCUGGGGCCCAAGCACUUGAGCUCGCAACUGCUUCCUUCCCAGGUACAGUAACAGGAAGCUUGAUGGGAAGCAGAGCAGCCAGGAUGCCGACCCGCACUCUGAUACAGCCGUGAGCAUCCUGAGCGGUGGCUCCGCACCGCACUACAGCAGCCGCUCCUGGGUACCCCAUAAGUCAUGCGUAUUCCCCAACUCUCUCGAGCAGUUUGGUUCUCGGGAGUUCUUGGGCAUCUGAUGCGCCUUUCUCCUCCGAUUUUACUCAUGGGGAACCGGUUCCUUGUAGGCUCUGCAGCAGGACUUCCAUGAGGAUCCGUGUGGCCUCCAUGGAGGGUAUAAUUCCCUGGUGCCUGUUCACUUUGUUUGUGCCAAGCACUCCAGGGGUAAUUAACCAGGUGCAGGCCGUGUUCAUGUCCAGUUCCCAGCUUGCGCAGUGGGGAGGUGGUUCCUGAGCGUGGAGGUAGUAUUCAUUUGAGCCCCGGACACGUAAUUACAGAUUCGUAGGCUGACCUUUUGUUCUAUGCACCCAGAACCCCAGCUAAGAGACCGAAGCUCCUGGUCCUCUGUCUGUCUCUGGGGGGAGGGGGUGUCUAAGCCAGCACCCUGAUGUUCUUCCAGCACAGCUCUGCGUUAGAGGGACCUCAAGUUUGUGCAGUUGGUGGUGGUCAGAGGGUCUUCAGUCAUCGAUGUGUUGCUACAGCCUGACUCAUUUCACAAACAGAAGUCUCUCUGCUUCUCUCCCUAUUUGUGAUUUCACCCUGGGCUGCCAUACCCUCGCUGUCUGUGUCCCUCUCUGGGCGGCACCCAAGAGGAAGACUGUGGUCUGGAGCAUGCUGUUACUUCCACCACGUAGGCCCCCGUGUCAAGGUGGUCUUGGUUCCGGCACAAGUGCCAAAGUCUACGGUUACAGAGCGUGCGGACCAACCCGCAGCUGCAGCCACUUUGUCCGUGGCUAGGCCUGGACACAGCACGGCCUGUCUAGUCCCCCUGAAGGCCAGAGACGUUUUGGAGCCUCUGCUGCGUGAGGCUUUGUAGGCCAUUCAAAGAAAUAGGAGCUUCUGACCCCACCCUCGUGGCCCUUACAUCUGGUUAUCUUUGCAAGAUGGACAAAGCGCCCAUCUCCCUUGCCCGGGCUGUUUUCUGGCUUGCUGGCCUCCUUGUUAUUCCCCCAAAUACCAGGCAUGCUUCUGCCUCGGGGCCUUUGCAUGUGCUGCUGGCGCUGCCAGGAACGCUCUUUCCUCUUCCACCCCAGGCACAGCGCCUCCCUUUGACAGAGAGAGCUUUGCUCCCAGGCCCUCUAGGUGUGGCCUGCUGCCUUCCUGCCUGCCUUUUCCCUUUCUCUGCCUUACCGCCCUCCCAAGUGCCGACAUCCUGCCUGUGUCGCGGCAUCCUGUCUGUGUGACGUCUGUGUCUGGUUUCUCUAUCUCUCCCCGACUUUAGACUGUGGAGAGCUGGUUGAGGGCAAGGCUUUUUGUCUGCUGAGGCUGCUGGGAGGAGGCAGGCAGGAUUGACACCAGCCUUGUUCUGCUGGCCGGCGAGCCUGCAGGGCCUGGGACGAGGGCGGGGCCUGGAGUUCCCACUCCAGCCCAGCAGCCUUUCCCUGUCACUUGGGGGGCCUUCGCUACCUGCCGACAGAGGACAGUUAGUUCUGUCUUCUGAAUGGUGCAGGCUCUUGCCCGGAUGCCCUGGGAAUCCUGCGGACUCCUUGCUUUGUCCCUAGUUACCUACCGUCCAGCUCUCAAGGCAUCCAGAGGGGAUGACCAGUGUCCCCCGUGCCUGUUGGGAAAAAAGGCCGAGGACCUUGGACUUUCAGGAGCAAAGCCCCCUGUCUCCUUCCAGCCUGAUUCAUUGGCCGGGUUUCCCACACAGGGCCCCAGAAGGCACCACAAGGCACCCUGUCCAUCCAUCCUGUCCCCUGUCUUCCCCACACUAUCUGAGUUGACUCCCUGCUGUUCUCCCCACCCUACUCUUGCCGUUAAGCCCGAGGCCCCCACCCCAGGACCCCAUUUGCCCCUGGAUCAUGAACCCUCUCUACUGCCACCCUUGGGCCUCAGUAGUGGGUGCUAUUCGCUACCCACAUUCCAGAACCAUCAGAGUCAGCCUCCUCUUUGCUCUCCUCUGCCAUUUCCAGGGAGAUUCCUUGUGUUAAAAUCUUGCUUCUCUGGGAAGUUCCAAGGGUCAAGGGAGUCAAGGUCAUUGACAAGAAAGGCUGAUAGACAUGACCAUGGGGGUCUAGACUUCAACAGCAAAUCAGGUUAAGGAGCAGCUCCUGGGAGAGAAAACAGGAUGACUGUGGCAUGGAGGUCAGAAAAUCCCCUUUCCAAAGGCAAACAGCUCUGGUGUCAGACGAUGAAGUCCAGGCCAAGCCAGGAGGGCUGACCUCACCAGCACGUGACAGAGGGCACGGGUGUUCUAGGCAGAAGGAGCCAGUUGGUGCGUUUUCUGUUUUUGUUUUGUUUUGUUUUAGUGUAGAUUUUUACUUCAGGUACAGUGGAGAGCUGUAGGAACAGGGAUGGAAGUUUUAUUUGUUGGUUGGUUUUAAAUUAACGGCUAACCAUUGCCUAUGUGCCUACAGUGUACACUGUGAUUAUCUGAUGCGCAUAUACUGUGUAAGUGAUCAAAUCAGGUAACUAGCAUUUCCAUCUCCUUAAGCACUUACCAUUUCUCUGUGUUGGGGGCUCUGGAAGUCCUCUCGUCUAGUUGUAAUAGGAGCUAUCUACUAAAUCGUUCGGAACUCCCGGUGCCCUGUCGUGCUGGGCGGCAUUGGGGCCUCCUCCUCCCUUUAGCCCCCACCCCCAGCCUUCCUAGCUGCUGCUGACCUCCAGGGCGCCAGCUCUUCUGAGUUCCACAUAUGGGCAAAAUCACGGAGUACUUGUCUUUCUGUGCCUGCCUUACUUCACUUAACAUAAUGGCCUCGAGUUCUAGCCACGUUGCCACAAAUGACAGGAUUCCAUUCUUUUUUAGUGGCUCAUUUUUCACAUACCAUGCACUCCAGCCUUUUGUGCCUGUGAUUCAGCAGUUUUUUAUAUAUUCCGAGUUCUGCCGCCUUCCCCACCAAGUCCAGAACCUUUUUAUUGCCUAAAAGAAACCCAAGACCCGUUAGCAGCUACCCCCGGUUCCUCCCCUGCCCAGCCCUGACAACUACGGACUUCUUUUCUGUCUCCAUGGGUGGGCCUGUCCUGCACAUGUCGUAUCAGUGGAAUCAUGUGACAUGAGGUCUGUUCUGUCUGGCUUCUGCCCCCGAGCACGGGGGUUUCAAGGUUCAUCCAUAUUUUAAGAUGAAUCAUUUCUUUCCUUUUUAUGGCUGAAUGAUAUUCCAUUCAUCCAUUGAUGGAUGUUUGGGCUGUUUGCCCCGUUCGGGCUACUGUGAACAUCCCCACACAAGCUUCUGUAGACACACGUGCCUGCCUCUGCUGCAUAUCCAGCUUGCUGUGGGAUCCCUGGUUCCUGUGGUCCUAGCAGGUGGGAGGAAGCAUCGUGUGGUUUUCAUUUGCACUUCCCUAAUGACAGAUCAUGCGGCACAUCUUUCCAUAAGCUAGGGCAUUUACCUAUCUUCUUUGGCCAAAUGUCUAUUCAGAUAUUUUUCCUAUUGUUGCUUUCAUUUGGUUGCUUUAUAUGUUUGACAGAGAGAAGGAGAGAGAGCGCGCACACUCUUAUCCACUGGUUUACAAACCAGGAGCCAGGAACACAAUCCGCGUCUCCUAUCACUGAGCCAUCCCUGCUGCUGCAGGGUCUGUGCUAGCAGAGUGGAGUUGAAGCUGCAGCCUCGAAUCAAAUCCAGGCACUCUGAUGUGGGACACAAGCACUUUAAGCAGAAGGCUAAACACCCACUAGCUUGCCUGUUGUUUACUGGGGUUGUUUGUUGUUAAGUUGUAAACGUUCCUUAUUUAUUCUGAAUAUUACAGCCUUAUCACAUAGGUGCUUUCCAAAUAUUUUCCCCUGGUCUGUAUGUUCCUUUGUUAUGUCCUCGCUGGCGUCCUUUGGUACACAACGAUGUUUAGUUCAGUGAGGAUCAGUUGGUUCUUUUGUUCCUUGUGAUUUCAGUGUCAUAGUUCAGAAACCAUUGCCAUACCUAAGGUUAUAAAGCGUCACCC